This 252-nucleotide ribosomal RNA is filed under the name uncultured bacterium. RNAcentral describes it as "partial 16S ribosomal RNA". It matches the Rfam family "Bacterial small subunit ribosomal RNA", at positions 524 to 776 of the family's 1533-position model. The record is from RNAcentral.
UACGGAGGAUGCGAGCGUUAUCCGGAUUUAUUGGGUUUAAAGGGUGCGUAGGCGGGCUUUUAAGUCAGCGGUAAAAAUUCGGGGCUCAACCCCGUCCGGCCGUUGAAACUGGGGGUCUUGAGGGGGCGAGAAGAAGGCGGAAUGCGUGGUGUAGCGGUGAAAUGCAUAGAUAUCACGCAGAACCCCGAUUGCGAAGGCAGCCUUCCGGCGCCCUACUGACGCUGAGGCACGAAAGUGCGGGGAUCGAACAGG